GAUCAUGGCUCAGGAUGAACGCUAGCGACAGGCUUAACACAUGCAAGUCGAGGGGCAGCACGGGGUAGCAAUACCCCGGUGGCGACCGGCGCACGGGUGAGUAACACGUGUGCAACCAACCCCGUACCGGGAGAUAACCCGCGGAAACGUGGACUAACACCCCAUAACACCUUUCCCCCGCAUGGGGGAGAGUUUAAAAUCCCGAUGGUACGGGACGGGCACGCGCGACAUUAGGUAGUUGGCGGGGUAACGGCCCACCAAGCCGACGAUGU
Molecule: ribosomal RNA, 272 nt
Filed under: uncultured bacterium
Lineage: Bacteria
Description: partial 16S ribosomal RNA
Rfam family: Bacterial small subunit ribosomal RNA
Source: RNAcentral